This is a long non-coding RNA of Bufo bufo (common toad), 361 nucleotides long. RefSeq lists it as uncharacterized. The transcript has 2 exons. NCBI's taxonomy places the organism in Eukaryota, Metazoa, Chordata, Amphibia, Anura, Bufonidae. The record is from RefSeq and is a predicted model, not a curated record.
GCGUUUUUCCCAUCUCUGUCUCUCAGGUGAAGUCUCCGGAUGAGCAGCAUGUGGUGGGGAUGAUAAAGAAGGAGACUGAUCAUCUUCUGCUUACUUUCCCAUUGGACCUGGAGGUGACAAUGAAGGCCAUGUUGUUGGGCUCCUCCUUGUACCUGGAAAAUCUCAUUAAAUCAAAGAGAAAGGAACUGCAGAGACGAGCACGUGACUGAUACUCCUGCAGCACAUCUCACCAAUAUCCCAUGUAUGCAGCCACAUGUAUCUGAGCACCUUCUCCGCAGAGCAUCAUAUAUCAUCCUCAGCAUUGCAGAGCAUCACACCCAGCAUUACCAGGGAAAUGCUCCUCAUACUAAACACUAAUACU